GACGAACGCUGGCGGCGUGCCUAAUACAUGCAAGUAGAACGCUGAAGAGAGGAGCUUGCUCUUCUCUGGUGAGUUGCGAACGGGUGUGUAACGCGUAGGUAACCUGCCUUGCAGUGGGGGAUAACUAUUGGAAACGAUAGCUAAUACCGCAUAACAAUGGAUGACACAUGUCGUGUUUUUGAAAGUGGCCAUUGCUGCACUGCAAGGUGGACCUUCGUUGUAUUAGCUAGUAGGUGAGGUAAUGGCGCAUCUAGGCGACGAUACCUAGCCGACCUGACAGGGUGAUCGGCCACACUGGGACUGAGACACGGCCCAGACGCCUACGGGUGGCAGCAGUAGUGAAUCCUGGGGAAGAGGGGCAAAACUGAGCGAGAAACGCCGCGGGAGUGAAGAGGGUUGUCGGGUCGUAGAGCACUGUUGUAGGGCAAGAACGGGUGUGAGAGUGGAAAGUUCACAGUGUGACGGUAGCUGAUCAGAAAGGGACGGCUAACUACGUG
Molecule: ribosomal RNA, 497 nt
Filed under: uncultured bacterium
Lineage: Bacteria
Description: partial 16S ribosomal RNA
Rfam family: Bacterial small subunit ribosomal RNA
Source: RNAcentral